AACAAAGAAGAUAGGAUUGAAUUCGCUUUUCGUGGUCAUGAACAGGUCGUAUUUGGUACUCUUUGUGAAGUUGAUUGAAUUCGUAUUUAGAGUUGUUUGAGCUUGUUAUUGUGAGUUUUCUACUUUUUUAUUUUUCUCUUAUAUGACAGUAGUUGUGCGAUUUUAGGCGUGUAGAAAACUCAAAUAUUUGGUUUCUACACAUGUCGAAGAAAAAAAAGCUCGGGCUUAAGCCGUUUGUGUUUUUCUCUUUAGUCCAUAAACUGUUGAAGUGUAAAAAGAAAAGUACUUUUGAAAAAGUGGCUUUUAUAGAAGUAAUUUUUGAGUCUGGUUGUUUGCCUUAUUUUGAAGGAAAAUGCGAAUAAAAAUA
RNAcentral lists this long non-coding RNA (367 nucleotides) under Ananas comosus (pineapple). Its description in RNAcentral is "long non-coding RNA (ACOM_LNC004801)". The record is from RNAcentral. Lineage: Eukaryota; Viridiplantae; Streptophyta; Magnoliopsida; Poales; Bromeliaceae.